Molecule: long non-coding RNA, 741 nt
Organism: Brassica oleracea var. oleracea
Lineage: Eukaryota; Viridiplantae; Streptophyta; Magnoliopsida; Brassicales; Brassicaceae
Exons: 3
Source: RefSeq, a predicted model, not a curated record
CCUAAUAUUCUCUUAUUUGAUAGAACCUUGGCGAUUAGAGAGGCGAGUGAUGACGAUCGUGUUGAUUCUCCCACUAAUAGCGUCCUUAUGUUAAUCAUCUUGCGUUGGAGUCUUGGAGAGCUCAUCGGAGUUGUGUACCACGAGAAGGAGCCAGACCUUUCCCAAUGGAGCUAUGUAUAUCUCAGUGGAGCUAUUCCCGAUGUGGCCAAGUUUUCGAUGAAGUCUUUGAUAAAGAAGCAUUAUAUGAGAAGCACCGAAAGUACUCGUGGGACGAUUUGAAACUGUUUGAAUAAUUAUGUUCCCAGUGUAGAGAACGCUCUCACAAGUUUUCUUUUUGACUUCUCUUCUGUCUUUUUGUCCUCUCGUGACUAAGGAAAAGAAUAUAUUAGUAGUGGCAUCAUGGUGGACAGUUAAGCUGUACCUUCACCUGUUAGCAAAUGGUAAGCACACCACUGUAUCUGUUUCGGAGGAGGUCUCCGGAUAUAUUCGUUUGGAAACAAUUCCCAAGCCGAAGCAUUCUGAUACUGUCAUCUAAUACUAAUGGCGUGUACUCAGAUCCAAUUGAUCCUAAGGAGCUUCUAAGACACUGUAGAAGAGAUUAGACUCUGGAGAUUUUUCCAUUUUAGAACAAUUUGAGGUACUUCUUUUACUUCGACUCCUCCAAGCUUCUUAGCUCUGAAAUUUCUGUGCAAGUCUUAUCCUUGAUGGUUUUGAUGUUUUUGAGUUUGCACCUCUUUUGCU